This 314-nucleotide long non-coding RNA is filed under the name Sorghum bicolor (sorghum). RNAcentral's name for it is "long non-coding RNA (SBIC_LNC017970)". Lineage: Eukaryota; Viridiplantae; Streptophyta; Magnoliopsida; Poales; Poaceae. The record is from RNAcentral.
UACUCUACCGAUCCUGGACACGUGCCCAAAAAAUAGUGUCAACACAUGCCCCCCCAGUUUCGGAGUAUGAAAUCAUUAAUGCUCCGAAAUUCUCUACAGUAAUGAUGCCUUUCCGCAAUUAAUUUUCCCGAUUUGAUAACCGACAGCCUUAAUCUGAACAACCCUGGUUUGAUUCCUCCGUAUAUCCCUCGAAAUCUUCAACCUUCCAAACGAACAUUUCCACUCUAUUCGCCCAUCGGCAAUGUUAUCGUUACAGAGACCUGCCGAUGGACUGACCAGGACGUUCUGUUUAGUAAAGUAUCUUAUCCUCCCAA